This 322-nucleotide long non-coding RNA is filed under the name Coturnix japonica (Japanese quail). Its description in RNAcentral is "lncRNA (ENSCJPG00005018061.1)". The record is from RNAcentral. Lineage: Eukaryota; Metazoa; Chordata; Aves; Galliformes; Phasianidae.
AAUUAAAGGGAAGCCUAAUAAUUGGUGCUUGAGGUGAAGGGAAGUGGAUGCAAAAGGAGGAAGGGCUGUGCUGAGUUCUGUAGUUCCAGGCUCAGCCUGAGGCUGGAAUUUUGUGGUUUAUGCCAGGAGAAACCAUUUGCCACCCUAGGAAUGCCUCUCUGGGGGUUACUGGGAGCGUGCUGGAGGCACAGCCCUUGGGGGAGCUCAAGAUUGCUGUGGCAAUGUGAGUGCUCUUUUGUGACAUCCAGCAAGCUGCUGCUUCCAGCUCUGCCUUAAAUCACCGUUGAAAUAGCUGUCAAAAUAAGCUGCUAAAAUCUGCAAA